CAGCUGAGCACACUACAGUGAGCACUGUCAAUAAUUCCUUUUAUUCUCCAGCUAAUCAAGAAACCCAGCCUUUGAUAUCUGAGUCAUUGCUCCACAUCCUGCCCCGCUUCAGCACUUCCUCAUUCAAGGCAGAAGCUCCUUGCAGCAGCACAUUUCAAUCUCAGCACAUUCAGGCAGGAUACCGAGAGAUCCCACACUGCCUUCCCUCCCACUCAGGACAAGGAAUCUAGAGCCAGCCAUCCCUGUGGAAGCUGAACAUUCCUAAACAUACACAGAAGGUGGCAGUCCAGUCCAGGUGGCAAGACACUGCAGACACAUGUCAAUGGCCAGAGCUUUGUUUCAACAGGGCUCUGCUUCUGUUGGCCUGGGAGAGGAGCUCAGAUCAGGCUGCGUGGGCACACUCGGGUGCUCAGCCCUAGCCCGAGGCAUCCAUACCGCCUAUGGUGGUUAGCAGAGGCAUACCAGAACUCCCACUGGCUUGAGUUUUCCACUGUGUGUGUUGCUAGGAGGAGAAAUUAGAAGCUGGUUUUGAUGGUGG
Molecule: long non-coding RNA, 538 nt
Filed under: Calidris pugnax (ruff)
Lineage: Eukaryota; Metazoa; Chordata; Aves; Charadriiformes; Scolopacidae
Description: lncRNA (ENSCPUG00000011700.1)
Source: RNAcentral